GAUGAACGCUGGCGGCGUGCCUAAUACAUGCAAGUCGAGCGAACAGAUAAGGAGCUUGCUCCUUUUACGUUAGCGGCGGACGGGUGAGUAACACGUGGGUAACCUACCUAUAGGACUGGAAUAACUCCGGGAAACCGGGGCUAAUGCCGGAUAACAUUUAGAACCGCAUGGUUCUAAAGUGAAAGAUGGUUUUGCUAUCACUUAUAGAUGGACCCGCGCCGUAUUAGCUAGUUGGUAAGGUAACGGCUUACCAAGGCAACGAUACGUAGCCGACCUGAGAGGGUGAUCGGCCACACUGGAACUGAGACACGGUCCAGACUCCUACGGGAGGCAGCAGUAGGGAAUCUUCCGCAAUGGGCGAAAGCCUGACGGAGCAACGACGCGUGAGUGAUGAAGGUCUUCGGAUCGUAAAACUCUGUUAUUAGGGAAGAACAAAUGUGUAAGUAACUGUGCACGUCUUGACGGUACCUAAUCAGAAAGCCACGGCUAACUACGUG
This 497-nucleotide ribosomal RNA is filed under the name uncultured bacterium. Its description in RNAcentral is "partial 16S ribosomal RNA". It matches the Rfam family "Bacterial small subunit ribosomal RNA", at positions 28 to 507 of the family's 1533-position model. The record is from RNAcentral.